RNAcentral lists this non-coding RNA (220 nucleotides) under Alloiococcus otitis. RNAcentral's name for it is "T-box sequence". It matches the Rfam family "T-box leader". From Rfam's summary of the family: Uncharged tRNA acts as the effector for transcription antitermination of genes in the T-box leader family. T-boxes are found upstream of many aminoacyl-tRNA synthetase genes and some amino acid biosynthetic genes usually in Gram-positive bacteria. Lineage: Bacteria; Bacillati; Bacillota; Bacilli; Lactobacillales; Carnobacteriaceae. The record is from RNAcentral.
AUAAAAACCAAAAGUGAGUAAGUUAUUACCCGCUUGACAGAGAGCUUACACUCGGUGAAAGUAAGCAAGUAGGGUUAACUGAACAUGGCUUUUGACAUAGGUUUAAUGGUUGAGCAAAAAGCAAGACCAUUACGGGGACACCGUUAUCAAGAGGAGUUCUUAACUCUAGAGGGGGAAUUAUAUCCAAACAAGGUGGUAACGCGGCACUGUCGUCCUUAAU